CAAACGGCUUUUCUAAAAGCCACAAAAUUGAAGAACAAUUUAUUCG
This is a regulatory RNA element of Trichoplax adhaerens, 46 nucleotides long. It matches the Rfam family "Histone 3' UTR stem-loop". From Rfam's summary of the family: The mRNAs of metazoan histone genes lack a poly-A tail. 3' end processing occurs at a site between a highly conserved stem-loop (modelled by this family) and a purine rich region around 20 nts downstream (the histone downstream element, or HDE). The stem-loop is bound by a 31 kDa stem-loop binding protein (SLBP - also termed the histone hairpin binding protein, or HBP). The record is from Rfam. Lineage: Eukaryota; Metazoa; Placozoa; Uniplacotomia; Trichoplacea; Trichoplacidae.